This 468-nucleotide ribosomal RNA is filed under the name uncultured bacterium. Its description in RNAcentral is "partial 16S ribosomal RNA". It matches the Rfam family "Bacterial small subunit ribosomal RNA", at positions 28 to 507 of the family's 1533-position model. The record is from RNAcentral.
GACGAACGCUGGCGGCGUGCUUAACACAUGCAAGUCGAACGGAAAGGCCCUGCUUUUGUGGGGUGCUCGAGUGGCGAACGGGUGAGUAACACGUGAGUAACCUGCCCUUGACUUUGGGAUAACUUCAGGAAACUGGGGCUAAUACCGGAUAUUAGCUCCUGCUGCAUGGUGGGGGUUGGAAAGUUUCGGCGGUUGGGGAUGGACUCGCGGCUUAUCAGCUUGUUGGUGGGGUAGUGGCUUACCAAGGCUCUGACGGGUAGCCGGCCUGAGAGGGUGACCGGCCACAUUGGGACUGAGAUACGGCCCAGACGCCGACGGGAGGCAGCAGUGGGGAAUAGUGCACAAUGGGCGGAAGCCUGAUGCAGCAACGCCGCGUGCGGGAUGACGGCCUUCGGGUUGUAAACCGCUUUCGCCUGUGACGAAGCGUGAGUGACGGUAAUGGGUAAAGAAGCACCGGCUAACUACGUG